UACAGAGGGGGCAAGCGUUGUUCGGAAUUACUGGGCGUAAAGGGCGCGUAGGCGGCCUUCUAAGUCGAACGUGAAAUCCCCGGGCUCAACCCGGGAACUGCGUCCGAGACUGAAAGGCUUGAAUCCGGGAGAGGGAUGUGGAAUUCCAGGUGUAGCGGUGAAAUGCGCAGAUAUCGGGAGGAACACCAGUAGCGAAGGCGGCUCGCUGGGCCAUUCCUGACGCUGAGACGCGAAAGCAUGGGGAGCGAACAGG
RNAcentral lists this ribosomal RNA (253 nucleotides) under uncultured bacterium. Its description in RNAcentral is "partial 16S ribosomal RNA". It matches the Rfam family "Bacterial small subunit ribosomal RNA", at positions 524 to 776 of the family's 1533-position model. The record is from RNAcentral.